This 466-nucleotide ribosomal RNA is filed under the name uncultured bacterium. RNAcentral describes it as "partial 16S ribosomal RNA". It matches the Rfam family "Bacterial small subunit ribosomal RNA", at positions 28 to 507 of the family's 1533-position model. The record is from RNAcentral.
GAUGAACGCUGGCGGCGUGCUUAACACAUGCAAGUCGAACGAUGAAGCCCAGCUUGCUGGGUGGAUUAGUGGCGAACGGGUGAGUAACACGUGAGUAACCUGCCCUUAACUCUGGGAUAAGCCUGGGAAACUGGGUCUAAUACCGGAUAGGAGCGUCCACCGCAUGGUGGGUGUUGGAAAGAUUUAUCGGUUUUGGAUGGACUCGCGGCCUAUCAGCUUGUUGGUGAGGUAAUGGCUCACCAAGGCGACGACGGGUAGCCGGCCUGAGAAGGUGACCGGCCACACUGGGACUGAGACACGGCCCAGACUCCUACGGGAGGCAGCAGUGGGGAAUAUUGCACAAUGGGCGCAAGCCUGAUGCAGCGACGCCGCGUGAGGGAUGACGGCCUUCGGGUUGUAAACCUCUUUCAGUAGGGAAGAAGCGAAAGUGACGGUACCUGCAGAAGAAGCACCGGCUAACUACGUG